Long non-coding RNA from Lucilia cuprina (Australian sheep blowfly), 3392 nucleotides. RefSeq lists it as uncharacterized. The record is from RefSeq and is a predicted model, not a curated record. The transcript is spliced from 4 exons. NCBI's taxonomy places the organism in Eukaryota, Metazoa, Arthropoda, Insecta, Diptera, Calliphoridae.
AAAUAAAAAAUUUCGUUACUUAAAAGGCACACAAUGGUGUUAUAAAAUUAUUAUAUAUAGAUAUCUAAAAAAUAAAUAAUAAAUUCAUAGGCAAAUGUUACAAGUGUCCAUGUACAUAUGUAUACAUACAUACUUAUAUAUUUUAGGCUGUUGUCGUCUCAACUUUUCUUUCUUUGUCUUCUUGGGAUGAUGGUCCAGUCUUAGAGAUGGGAACCACGCGUUCUGUAUUUGGUGGAGGCAACUUCUUCAUGGGAGCGGUAACUGUUAAGAGUCCAUCUGAAGAUAGCGAUGAAGUAACACUGUCGGGAUUGACGUCAUCUAAAGAAUGAUAAAUAAUAUGUUGGUAGAGAUUCAUGGAAAAUUUAAAUGAGAACAUACUUGGUAAUAGAUAACGUCUAGUAAAUUGUCUGGAUACAAAGCCAUGUUCAUCUUGCUUUUCUUCAUGCUUUGCCUCUACAAUGACAAAUUUGUCGGUAACCUUGACACUGAUUUCGUUGGGUGUGAACUGUUGGACAUCCAAAAUAACUUCAAAUUUCUCUUCGUUAAUAUUUAAAGUAGAGCCAGAAUCUUGUUUUUGCAAUCCUGUGGUACGCUGCCAAGGGCGUAAAUAUCCAGAGCGCAACAUUGUUGGACGAGAGUUCCAUACGGAGGACAACAAAUCAUCACGUCUAAUAAAAAAUUAAAAUGUAAUCAAGUAAGUAAAACAAAAUGUGUUUAACUUACUUUAAUCCGGUACCGAAAUGCUGGUCCAAGAGACGCGAUGUGCGUGUUGGAAACUCAAGUUCAUCCCACCAGUCACGGAACAUUAAAGGUACUACUGACAUCUACGUUAUACAAAGAAAAAAAAUAGAACACUAAUGGUAAUUAAUUUAAAUCACCACCAAAUGUUGAAAAAAUAUUUAUAUUAUAAACAACUAAUUAUUUUCCAAACAAAUUAUAAAUAUAUAUUCUUAUAAUAAUCACAUUAACCGAUAUUUUAUUCGGAUUUAAAUUAUUUAAUUAUGCUUUCUUAAACUUUAAUAAAAUUUUGAGAAUUUUUAAUAUAUAUAUAUAAUUAUUUUUCACUUUAUUAUUAAAUGUAUUUCUUAAUUUAGAAACUGAUUCACUUGUCGUAUUCGCACCUUUAUUAUCUAUUUGUAUAUAUACACUUUCACCUGAGAUGUUCUCACGUCCGAUAUAAUUUUAUUAAUAAUACUGAUUUUUAAUUUUCCAACAGUUUUUAUAUUAGAAAAUUUUUGCCCGUUCUUUAUUUCAUCAUCAUCCUUAUAAUCAUCAUUUUAUUAACACACAGACUGAUAUAUAGUAUGGUAUAUAUGUACAUUCAUACAAAAACAGAAAUAAUAAACUUAGAAUAUCAUUAAGGUGUCCAAAAAUUUGAUAUAACUAAAACAAUUUGUUGGUAAAUUAUUAAAAAAAACUUCUUUAUUAAACUGAGAAGAUUGGAAUCAAUAAUACUGAAUUAAAUUUAUAUUUUCAAAAUUGAAUAGGUCUUUUUUCGAUCGUUGUUCUUCGAUGCUUGUUUUUUUAUUUGAAAAUUAAAAUAUAAUUCUGCUCCCUAUACAUAAGUGCAUUUGAAUUAAAAAAUGUACUUAGUGUUGACACAAAAUUAUAUUUUUUAUUUCACGUUAUAUUUAUUUUUUGAAAUGGAAACUAGGCAAAAUCGUAGACCUAUAUUGCAAAUUUUCAAUACCAAACUGGGUCAACUUUACUCUAUAGAGUUUUCAACAUGGUUAGAUCGUCUUGCUUUUGUAGGUUUACGACCAAUAUUUCAAUAUGUUACAAACGGAAUGCCAAAAUCAAUACACCAUCUUAAUUGCUUUAUUACUAGAGAAGUAGUUUUAUACCCAUCAUCAAAAAAGAUGGGGGUAUAUUGGUUAUGUCUGUUGAAAGCAUGAUAGAGUCCGAACGGAAAGAGCUAGAGAGUUGAAAAUUUCAACAGUAAGGUUUGUUUGGAAUUGAAAAUUGACAAUAUCGGUAAACGUUUUCGCAUAGCCCCCAAAUACAGCUUUGACACUCAUAUCUAUUUUAAAAAUGCAAGUAUAGCAAUGAAAUUCGACAUAAUUAAGCCGUAUAUGAGUCGAAUUCUCUCUACCAAAUUUUAUGAGGAUCGGUCCAUAAUUGAAACUAAUUCUCAUAUAUGGUUCCCUCCAAACAAUGACUUUACCGCCCAUUAAUGACUUAAAAAUUUGAGUUUAGUUUUAAAAUUCGAUAUAGUUAAGAUUCUUGUGAAGAUCGGUCCAUAAUUAACCCUACCCCUAUAUAAGGUCCCCCUUUAGAAAAUGACCCUAACGCCCACUAAUGGCAUGAAAGCACGAGUAUACUAAAAUUUGACAUAAGUAAGUUUUUUAUGAACACAAACCUAUCUACCGAGUUUUAUAAGAAUCGGUCCAUAAUUGGCCCUUCCCCCAUAUAAGGCCCGGCCCUCUUUAGAAAACUAAUUUAACGCAAAUUCCAUUUACAGCAUACGAUUUAAUGGUGGGUAUAUAAGUUUCGGCAUAGUCGAAUAAAACACUAUUACUUGUUUUUGUUGGUUUUUACAUUUUACAAAAGAAUAAAAGCAAACAGCAUUUAAUACAAUUGUUUGCAAAAAAAUAACUGAAACAAAUAAAUAAUUCACAUAUUCAUAAUUCACACAUGUAAAGCAAAAAUAACUAAUUUUGAUUAAUAAUUAAGCUAAAAUCGGAAUUUAAUAAUGAGAAAAUAUUUUGAAAAUUUCAAACAUCUAGUUUUCUAUAUAAAAUUAUUGGGUACCCUCUUACUAUUAUAAAUAAAAAAAAAUAAAUUUUGAAUCAAACAUAAACAAAAUAAUAUUUGGCGUACGUAUUAUUUUUUAUAUUCUAAUUUUAGAAGAACGUCAUAUUAUUAGUAUGUAUUUAGUGUAUUUUUGAACUGUACGAAAGAUUUUCUUGAGAGCGCGUGGGAAAAUUAUUUGUUUGUUUAUAUUUAUAACUCGGUGUUAUUCAUUGACUGCAGAAAUAAAUAUAAGAUCGUGUCUCUGCCGGCCACCUGACCAUUGAAUUUUUGCCAUAAGAAGAAAGGUUUCAACAAUAAGAACAAAAACAUACAAGGAUGUGUCCUGUUAUGAAUCUGUUUCACGCAGGCCCUUUGAAUCUAUCCAGCAGUAUAACCAUUUUACCAGCAAGGUGGAAAUCAAAGACACUCUUAAACAAUUUGUUAAUCAUCUGACCUUUCAUCCGAAAUAUCCUUUGGCAAAUGUAUUUGUAGUGCCUAAGAUAAGAUGCAGAGCAAUGCAUUUGUGGUAGCCUGUUAAGUAAUUCUAUUUUUAAAUUGAUUUAUUUGUAUGUACAUAAAUAUUUUUACGAAUAAUUUAAUUUCAUUUAUAUCUGUCCUAAAAUGUUUUGGCAGUAUGAAAUAAAAAUUUAACGACUUCU